AAAUACUAAAAAAUAAAGAAAAACCCUUGAAUGAGUAGGUGUGUCCAAACUUUUGACUGGUACUGUAUGUGAUAAGCAAAAUUGACACAGUUACAAUAGACAUCCGCCAAAUUGAUGUUACCUGAAUUUUGUUAGCUCACAAUAAACACAACAGCUCAAUGCUGAGUAAAGAAGGUUAGUACUGUACAGGGAUGGUGAAGAGUAUUUAAACCAUCCUGCAGAAGUAAUUGGCAACCAGAAGGGGGCUCUCGUGUCACACUAGUGGUUGCCAAACACGUCCAUGCUGUGGUGGCCCACCUAAAGCCUUUGAAUAUAUCUUUCUGCGGUUUACUAACUAAACAAAAGCAAUGUUGUUCAGCACAAAUACAACAGUCUCACUUUACUCCACCAACAGGUUAGUGCAGUGUUUCUUCAUCCUGAUCCUGGGGAAUCAAAGGGGUACACUUUGUAUUGUUUUCCCUAGCACUACACACCUGAUUCCACUAAUCAAAGGUUUGAUGAUGAGUUGAUUAAGAAACAUUAGGUUACUAUUUUCACUAUAGUCCUCCUUUGAUUGAUUUGAAAUGUACUGUCUGUUACCAUUUGAGGUAAUGUACACCUUGCGUUCAUAUGGUUACGUGUGUGUGUAUAUGUCUAUCAUAACCUGUUGUGGUUGUGUGUGUAGGGCGGAGAGGAAGAGAGCCAGUGUGAAGCAGCAGAGUCUCAGCAGCAACCUUUUCAUCCUGGAAAGAACGGACCAAUCAGGACAGACAUAUUUCAGUCCCGCCCCUCAGGUCCAGGAAGUAUGUCAGGAGGUGGAUGAGUUCAUCUAUGUGGCCAAUGCAGAGACAGGAAGAGAAUAUGAGCUAUCGCAACAUCAGGCUGGUUCCACCAGGCUACCUUCCAGGACCAGAUCCAGGGAAAGAUCAGGCUGGUUCCACCAGGCUACCGUCCAGGACCAGAGCCAGUGAAAGGUGGUGAGGGGGAGGCGUCUCAGAUCCAAGCAUUGGUGAACCCUGCCUAGUGUUCGUCCUCCAGAACCCUCCUGGUCCUGACUUUUGUGUCCAGAGAGGAACCAGACCCAAUCAGAACCACUAGUCGCAGUACUGCUAGAUUAAAGACCAGGACCCCCAGUGUGGAUAUUGCACAGAGGCUCUGCCUGUCCCUGCUGCCCAACCCCUGGAUGGUCUGUCUUUCUGUCUGUCUGUCUAUGUAGUCUGUCUGUCUGUCUGUCUGUCUGUCUGUCUGUCUGUCUGUCUGUCUGUCUGUCUGUCUGUCUGUCUGUCUGUCUGUCUGUCUGUCUGCUGGGGUGCUCUGGUCUCAGGCUGUAGCUAGCUGUCAAGGAACUACCUUCAGCACAAAUGCUUCUGAAGGAAUGUUCUACCUCUGAUGUGCCUUGUUUCAAUGAAUCGCAAAAGAAAAAGUCAUUAUUGGGUAAAUAUUAUUUAAUAACCCUGUUGUAAUUUUUUUUGUGAAUAAAUAGUGGGUUGUGAAACAAAACAGAA
Molecule: long non-coding RNA, 1484 nt
Organism: Salvelinus sp. IW2-2015
Lineage: Eukaryota; Metazoa; Chordata; Actinopteri; Salmoniformes; Salmonidae
Source: RefSeq, a predicted model, not a curated record